RNAcentral lists this non-coding RNA (28 nucleotides) under Mus musculus (house mouse). The record is from RNAcentral. Lineage: Eukaryota; Metazoa; Chordata; Mammalia; Rodentia; Muridae.
UAAGUGUACUAACAUCAGCUCCUGUAUC